GAUGAACGCUAGCGGCAGGCCUAAUACAUGCAAGUCAAGGGGAUAGCAAUAUCACCGGCGGACGGGUGCGUAACGCGUACACAACGUGCCCAAGGGCGGAGGAAAGCGGCGGGAAACUGCCGGUAAUACUCCAUGGUGUUGUUGAGUGGCAUCACUUAACAACUAAAGUACAAGCGCCCUUGGAUCGGUGUGCGUUCGAUUAGCUAGUUGGCGGGGUAACGGCCCACCAAGGCUUCGAUCGAUAGGGGGUGUGAGAGCAUGACCCCCCACACGGGUACUGAGACACGGACCCGACUCCUACGGGAGGCAGCAGUAAGGAAUAUUGGACAAUGGGCGGAAGCCUGAUCCAGCCCAUGCCGCGUGAAGGACGAAGGCGCUCAGCGUUGUAAACUUCUUUUGGAUGGGAACAAUAACUCCGACUUGUCGGAACUUGAGGGUACCAUCAGAAUAAGCACCGGCUAACUCCGUG
This 469-nucleotide ribosomal RNA is filed under the name uncultured bacterium. RNAcentral's name for it is "bacterial SSU rRNA". It matches the Rfam family "Bacterial small subunit ribosomal RNA", at positions 28 to 507 of the family's 1533-position model. The record is from RNAcentral.